UACGGAGGGUGCAAGCGUUGCUCGGAAUUAUUGGGCGUAAAGGGCAGGUAGGUGGUCUCAUUUGUCUGGGGUGAAAGCCUUGAGCUUAACUCAAGAAGUGCCCCAGAAACGGUGAGACUAGAGUCUUGGAGAGGGUCGUGGAAUUCCCGGUGUAGCGGUGAAAUGCGUAGAGAUCGGGAGGAACACCAGAGGCGAAGGCGGCGACCUGGACAAGUACUGACACUCAACUGCGAAAGCGUGGGGAGCAAACAGG
RNAcentral lists this ribosomal RNA (253 nucleotides) under uncultured bacterium. RNAcentral describes it as "partial 16S ribosomal RNA". It matches the Rfam family "Bacterial small subunit ribosomal RNA", at positions 524 to 776 of the family's 1533-position model. The record is from RNAcentral.